UAGCGGAGGAUCCAAGCGUUUAUCCGGAGUUUAUUGGGUUUAAAGGGUGCGUAGGCGGCCUAUUAAGUCAGGGGUGAAAGACGGUAGCUCAACUAUCGCAGUGCCUUUGAUACUGAUGGGCUUGAAUAUACUAAGAGGUAAGGCGGAAUGUGACAAGUAGCGGUGAAAUGCAUAGAUAUGUCACAGAACACCGAUUGCGAAGGCAGCUUCUAAUGGUAUUAUUGACGCUGAGGCAACGAAAGGCGUGGGGAUCAAACAGG
RNAcentral lists this ribosomal RNA (260 nucleotides) under uncultured bacterium. RNAcentral describes it as "partial 16S ribosomal RNA". It matches the Rfam family "Bacterial small subunit ribosomal RNA", at positions 523 to 776 of the family's 1533-position model. The record is from RNAcentral.